GUGAGCCCCUGGAGGGUAACCCCACUGAGGAGUUCUGGGAGACAGAGUGGAAUGCACACCUCAGCGUUGUCCCGCCUGAGGAGAGAAGGAGCUGGGUUGGACGAUAAGAGACCUCAGUAUCUGCAGAAGUUCUUAACUGACCUCGGAGAGGAGAGGGCCUCUGCAUCUGCAGGCACCUGUUCUGGAAUGGACAGUCAAGGUCCUGCGAGCUCGGAGUCCACGUCAGCAUUUUUGAAUUGGAAGCUUGUGUUGAAUUCAGCCAGAUAGGAACUUCAUGAAUCCUGAGACCACUAUGCUGAGACCACUCUAGCCUACUGGAGAAUGAGUAGCCACGUGGGGGAGAUAACUGAGGCCUGUGGCUGACAGGCAGCACAACUUGCAUGCGUGAGGCCACCACGGACCUUCCAGCCCAGUCCAGCCAUUGGGCAAGUCCAACAGAAGAACUGCCCAGAUUGUCACUUCACGGAACUUUGAG
RNAcentral lists this long non-coding RNA (475 nucleotides) under Equus asinus (donkey). Its description in RNAcentral is "lncRNA (ENSEASG00005031379.1)". Lineage: Eukaryota; Metazoa; Chordata; Mammalia; Perissodactyla; Equidae. The record is from RNAcentral.